CGUCCCAGGGUGGGCUCGAACCACCAACCUUUCGGUUAACAGCCGAACGCGCUAGCCGAUUGCGCCACGGAGAC
This 74-nucleotide transfer RNA is filed under the name Cordylochernes scorpioides. Its description in RNAcentral is "tRNA-Asn". Lineage: Eukaryota; Metazoa; Arthropoda; Arachnida; Pseudoscorpiones; Chernetidae. The record is from RNAcentral.